This 38-nucleotide non-coding RNA is filed under the name Mycobacterium tuberculosis. The record is from RNAcentral. Lineage: Bacteria; Bacillati; Actinomycetota; Actinomycetes; Mycobacteriales; Mycobacteriaceae.
UUAAAACCGUGUUGCACUGCAACCCGGAAUUCUUGCAC